RNAcentral lists this ribosomal RNA (662 nucleotides) under Sclerophora peronella. RNAcentral describes it as "eukaryotic LSU rRNA". The stretch from base 297 to 450 matches the Rfam family "5.8S ribosomal RNA". The record is from RNAcentral. Lineage: Eukaryota; Fungi; Ascomycota; Coniocybomycetes; Coniocybales; Coniocybaceae.
UUCUUGGUUCAUUAGAGGAAGUAAAAGUCGUAACAAGGUUUCCGUAGGUGAGUAAAAUCGCAUCCCCCACCCCUUUUUACCCGGAAUCACUGCUAACAUUCUAUUCAAGGUGAACCUGCGGAAGGAUCAUUAUCGAGUGAGGGUCACCAAGGCCUAACCUCCAACCCAUGUGUAUUCUACCACUGUUGCCUUGGCGGGACGUGAGAGUCUCACCGCUGGCUUUGGCCAGCGAGCGCCCGCCAGGGUCCACCUAACUCUGUUCAUGAUGUUGUCUGAGCAAACAAAAAUUUAUACAAAACUUUCAACAACGGAUCUCUUGGUUCUGGCAUCGAUGAAGAACGCAGCGAAAUGCGAUAAGUAAUGUGAAUUGCAGAAUUCAGUGAAUCAUCGAAUCUUUGAACGCACAUUGCGCCCCCUGGUACUCCGGGGGGCACACCUGUCCGAGCGUCAUCAUCAUCCUCAAGCUAAGCUUGUUGUUGGGCUUUGUCUCAUGGGGCAAGCCUAAAAGACAGUGGCGAUGCGGUCCGACCCCAAGCGCAGUGACUAAAUAUUCUCGCUUUGGGGCUGUGAGCGCGGCAGCCGUCAAACUCCAACAUUAAGUUUGACCUCGGAUCAGGUGGGGAUACCCGCUGAACUUAAGCAUAUCAAUAGGCGGGAGGAAA